Molecule: ribosomal RNA, 509 nt
Filed under: uncultured bacterium
Lineage: Bacteria
Description: bacterial SSU rRNA
Rfam family: Bacterial small subunit ribosomal RNA
Source: RNAcentral
CUGGCUCAGGAUGAACGCUAGCUACAGGCUUAACACAUGCAAGUCGAGGGGCAGCAUUGGGAUAGCUUGCUAUUCAGAUGGCGACCGGCGCGCGGGUGAGUAACGCGUAUCCAACCUUCCUGCCAGUAGGGAACAGCCCGGCGAAAGUCGGAUUAAUGCCCUAUGUUCUUCAAUGCGGACAUCUAAGUUGAAGGAAAGAUUCAUCGCUGGCAGAUGGGGAUGCGUCCGAUUAGCUUGCCGGCGGGGUAACGGCCCACCGGGGCGACGAUCGGUAGGGGUUCUGAGAGGAAGGUCCCCCACACUGGUACUGAGACACGGACCAGACUCCUACGGGAGGCAGCAGUGAGGAAUAUUGGUCAAUGGGCGUAAGCCUGAACCAGCCAAGUAGCGUGCAGGAUGACGGCCCUACGGGUUGUAAACUGCUUUUAUGCGGGGAUAAAGUGCGGCACGUGUGCCGCUUUGCAGGUACCGCAUGAAUAAGGACCGGCUAAUUCCGUGCCAGCCGCCGC